GGGGAAUAUUGCACAAUGGGCGCAAGCCUGAUGCAGCGACGCCGCGUGAGGGAUGAAGGCCUUCGGGUUGUAAACCUCUUUCAGCAGGGAAGAAGCGCAAGUGACGGUACCUGCAGAAGAAGCGCCGGCUAACUACGUGCCAGCAGCCGCGGUAAUACGUAGGGCGCAAGCGUUGUCCGGAAUUAUUGGGCGUAAAGAGCUCGUAGGCGGUUUGUCGCGUCUGCUGUGAAAACUUCAGGCUCAACCUGGGGCUGGCAGUGGGUACGGGCAGACUAGAGUGCGGUAGGGGUGACUGGAAUUCCUGGUGUAGCGGUGGAAUGCGCAGAUAUCAGGAGGAACACCGAUGGCGAAGGCAGGUCACUGGGCCGCAACUGACGCUGAGGAGCGAAAGCAUGGGGAGCGAAC
This 405-nucleotide ribosomal RNA is filed under the name uncultured bacterium. RNAcentral describes it as "bacterial SSU rRNA". It matches the Rfam family "Bacterial small subunit ribosomal RNA", at positions 356 to 773 of the family's 1533-position model. The record is from RNAcentral.